Amborella trichopoda is the source of this 560-nucleotide non-coding RNA. NCBI's taxonomy places the organism in Eukaryota, Viridiplantae, Streptophyta, Magnoliopsida, Amborellales, Amborellaceae. The record is from RefSeq and is a predicted model, not a curated record.
AGGGAAAUAAUGGGUAAUCGUCGUUAAUUUUUAGUUCCGAGCAACGGAAAGAAUGAAACGAAUACUGCGGCCAUUGCGGAUCACGUUCUUAUUUACGAGGAUAAUGAAGGAGAUCGCAUGUUAGUGGGUGAUGUACCAUGGGAGAUGUUUGUUAGCACAGUGAAGAGGCUUAGGAUCAUCCAGAGCUCAGAAGCACCACCUGCACUAGGCAUUACAAGGACCUUAGAAAGGCAACAGGGCCCACCAGUGGAAGGAAGAUAAGAUGAGCCCACCAGUGGAAGGAAGAUAAUAUGAAUCAAUCAAUUAGUGCAGCUACAAGAAGCUUGGUUUUCAUUCGGAAGAGCACUCACUCCCCCUCUCUCUCUCUCUCUCUCUCUCUCUCUCUCUCAAUGCUUUAAGGUGAUUCAAAUUCCUUGGUUCUAGAGAAAUAGACCUAAGGGAAGGUGAUGUAUAAAAGAUGGUAUUGUCAUAGGUAUGGUGGAUCUUGUUCCCCUUACUUGAACUCUCCUUUGUAAACCUUUAUUGUUCUAUGAAUGUGACCUAUUUUGCCUACAUCGUUC